CUCAGUAGGGCCAGAUCGCUCUUCCAGCGCGGGUUGGUCCACCAGGCAGAGCCCCAGCCAGGGCCUGUCAGGUACCCAGGGAGACCGGAAAUGUAGCCAGGAGACAGCAGCGCGCACAGUCACCUGGUUUCAGUGUCAGCCUGGUUGCUCCUAGAUGUUCCUAACUUGCUCCAUCUCAGACCAACGACUCCACGGGCCAUUGGGCUCCUUCUUACACAGGCUCCAGAGGAGCGUGGACACCACUGGCGGUCUGAAAAUUUGGCAGCCAGCAGUCUCCAGAGCGGGGUCGGAGGCGCGCAAGUGGGUGUUUUGGAAAUAUUUGCUGUGUCUCAGGGGAUUGUAGGAAUACGAGGAGUUUUCAGCAACAAAUUUUUAGCGAUGUCAAAAAAAGGAAAACUCCAUGCAAGUGCCAAGUUCACAGAUGACUGCAAGUUCAGGGAGCGUUUUCAAGAAAAUAGCUAUAAUACCUAUGCCUCAGCAAUACAUAGAACUGAAAAAACAGGGCGGGAGUGGUAUGUGGCCCUGAAUAAAAGAGGAAAAGCCAAACGAGGGUGCAGCCCCCGGGUUAAACCCCAGCAUAUCUCUACCCAUUUUCUGCCAAGAUUCAAGCAGUCGGAGCAGCCAGAACUUUCUUUCACGGUUACUGUUCCUGAAAAGAAAAAGCCACCUAGCCCUAUCAAGCCAAAGAUUCCCCUUUCUGCACCUCGGAAAAAUACCAACUCAGUGAAAUACAGACUCAAGUUUCGCUUUGGAUAAUAUUCCUCUUGGCCUUGUGAGAAACCAUUCUUUCCCCUCAGGAGUUUCUAUAGGUGUCUUCAGAGUUCUGAAGAAAAAUUACUGGACACAGCUUCAGCUAUACUUACACUGUAUUGAAGUCACGUCAUUUGUUUCAGUGUGACUGAAACAAAAUGUUUUUUGAUAGGAAGGAAACUGGAAUUCUUUGUACUAAUACAGGGAGCACACUCCUUCAGUUCAGCAAGACAUAAAGCCUUUUGCUUUAUGCUUGAGGGAUAUUUAGAACUUUGUAUUUUCGGAAAGUUAAAUAACAGGGACUACGUAUUUUUCUGACUUUUACAGAUUAACCUGAAAGAACAUACAUGAUACAUUUUUAUUUUUGGUUUCCAAAGAAUAUUUUGAUGCAGAUAAAAUAUUUUGUUAACUUUUGUUUUUUUUUUGUUUGUUUUCUUAAAAGUACCUCUGCAUUGAGCAUAUUUUCUUACUUUUAUUAUUUUAAUUAAUAUGACAUAAGCAAUCAUUUUAUGCUGUUUAUGAAUUAUAAAUGUGUUUAUAGCUCAUUUGUAAUAUGGAAAUCUUUUACAUUUUUCCUAUUCACUGCACUUUUUUAUUGUUUUUAUUUCUAGCCAUACCUCAGAUAAUAUGUUUAGUUUUACAUUUUAAAAUGUUUAAAUUCUCUUUCACAGCACCAAAGGCUCAGCUUGGAUUUGUGUGUAUGUGUAUGUCAAUUCAUGACAUUAUGUGGAAUCCUGCACCUUUGGUGGCUGGGAUAUGAUGGGUUAGAAGCAAGGAGAAAAUAUAAGGACUUUUUGAUGGAAUUAAAUGUGGGAGGUAAGGAAAAGGAUUUAGAGGUAAAAGUACACUAAGUUUGCAACAUUUAUUGAGAUCUAAGUCUGUCUUGCCUUCAUUUCUCUUUUUAUCUCCCCCUUGCCCUCAUUCUUGAACAGCUGGAGGAAUACAUUUUAUUCUGUCCAUGAAGCAUACACUAUGAAAUUCAAGUGCUUAAAAAUACUUCUAUGACUCUCUGCUAUCCCACUGUAUAGAUCCACAGGGAGCAAACACUUAGAAAUGAUAGAGAACUGAAGGAGAUCAAUGGUUUAACAGUUAUCCAUGCCAAGUCCCAUUGUCAGAAAUAUUCUUAUUACUCAGUCAAACACUCUUUGAGCUUCCCUUCCUAAAGGUAACCAUUACAGUGAAUAGAUGUGCCCUUUUAUAAGGAAACUUCUGAUGUUUAUUUAAAAAACUGGCCUUUUGAUAGAGGUAACUUAAUUUGGGAAUUUGUUAUGUUGAAAUGGCAUUUAAUUUCAACCUAAAUACUGACUGCUGGACAUAAAUCACAGAAAAUUUAACUUAAGAAAAUUUACAAAAUUUAUUCUCAGGUAAUCAUUUUAAUAAAGUUCUGCAAAAUACACAUGUUUAUCUUACAUUCAGAAAUGUGGCUAAAAAGGCAUAGCUAAAGGCUAAACAUAUGGCUUUAGUAGUAACAAAAGGGUUCAUAGAAACUUCAUGGUUUGCAUUUAAACAUGUUUAAAGUAUACUUAUAAACUAUUUUUUUCUUAAAGCAAACUACAAUUUAUUUUGGUGCACAAAUACAAAGUGGAAACUUACCAAAAUUGAACUAGCUACCAUAUAAGCAGAUUGCUUUAAUUUGAUGGGAAAAUAGUACACACACAUAUAUAACAAAUAAUAUAUUAAAAAACCCAUCCAUCAACUAAAACAUUUUAUGUAUACAUCAGUAUAGUGCUUCAUUAUAAAGCCAAUUAUCUGAUUAAGCAUUCUUUCCACUGAAUGCAUAAUUUUUAAAUAGCAUAAAAUGAAAUGCUACAAAAAAUUGAACUAAUUUAUACUUUAAAGUAUUUCUGGGUUAAAUGAAACAAUGAAAUUUUUUAGUAUGUCCAACUCUCAUCCAAAUGGCAUAUGACCCUGUUUACACAGCCUAAAGCUAAAAAUAUUACUCUAGUUUAUUCUAAUCUAUUGUUAAGUAUUGUGCACUCUAUACCAAGUUCUUAGGGCACAUGAAAAAUUUUAGCUGCCAAACAGAAACUAGUAAACAUAUGUUCCUAAUAAGUGAAGGGAAAGAUAAUAAUGAUGGUCAACAAUAAGCCACGUCAAUGCAUAAGUUGUAUAGGCUAAAUGUUGCUUGUAGGCUACAUUAAACUCAAAUGUAAUAGUUUAUCUUAUACUCCUGGUUUGAUUUGAUUAGCAUAUUAACGUGAAAGUAGGAUAGCUACUAAAUAUAUAUUAUGCAAGUCAGGAAUCAUUAAUUUCAAAAUUUAAAGCCAUGCUAAAAUUAAAAAGAGAAUAUUAAAUU
Molecule: small RNA, 3046 nt
Filed under: Pan troglodytes (chimpanzee)
Lineage: Eukaryota; Metazoa; Chordata; Mammalia; Primates; Hominidae
Description: processed transcript
Source: RNAcentral